Molecule: ribosomal RNA, 244 nt
Filed under: uncultured Thermovirga sp.
Lineage: Bacteria; Thermotogati; Synergistota; Synergistia; Synergistales; Thermovirgaceae
Description: partial 16S ribosomal RNA
Rfam family: Bacterial small subunit ribosomal RNA
Source: RNAcentral
UGGAGGGACUGCCGGCGACAAGCCGGAGGAAGGUGGGGAUGACGUCAAGUCAUCAUGGCCCUUAUGUCCAGGGCGACACACGUGCUACAAUGGCCGGCACAGCGGGAAGCGGAGGGGCGACCCUGAGCGGAUCCCUUGAAAGCCGGUCCCAGUUCGGAUUGCAGUCUGCAACUCGACUGCAUGAAGUUGGAAUCGCUAGUAAUCGCGGAUCAGCCAAGCCGCGGUGAAUACGUUCCCGGGCCUU